Molecule: ribosomal RNA, 665 nt
Filed under: Bacillus safensis
Lineage: Bacteria; Bacillati; Bacillota; Bacilli; Caryophanales; Bacillaceae
Description: bacterial SSU rRNA
Rfam family: Bacterial small subunit ribosomal RNA
Source: RNAcentral
GUGCAGUCGAGCGGACAGAAGGGAGCUUGCUCCCGGAUGUUAGCGGCGGACGGGUGAGUAACACGUGGGUAACCUGCCUGUAAGACUGGGAUAACUCCGGGAAACCGGAGCUAAUACCGGAUAGUUCCUUGAACCGCAUGGUUCAAGGAUGAAAGACGGUUUCGGCUGUCACUUACAGAUGGACCCGCGGCGCAUUAGCUAGUUGGUGGGGUAAUGGCUCACCAAGGCGACGAUGCGUAGCCGACCUGAGAGGGUGAUCGGCCACACUGGGACUGAGACACGGCCCAGACUCCUACGGGAGGCAGCAGUAGGGAAUCUUCCGCAAUGGACGAAAGUCUGACGGAGCAACGCCGCGUGAGUGAUGAAGGUUUUCGGAUCGUAAAGCUCUGUUGUUAGGGAAGAACAAGUGCGAGAGUAACUGCUCGCACCUUGACGGUACCUAACCAGAAAGCCACGGCUAACUACGUGCCAGCAGCCGCGGUAAUACGUAGGUGGCAAGCGUUGUCCGGAAUUAUUGGGCGUAAAGGGCUCGCAGGCGGUUUCUUAAGUCUGAUGUGAAAGCCCCCGGCUCAACCGGGGAGGGUCAUUGGAAACUGGGAAACUUGAGUGCAGAAGAGGAGAGUGGAAUUCCACGUGUAGCGGUGAAAUGCGUAGAGAUGUGGAGG